Molecule: ribosomal RNA, 253 nt
Filed under: uncultured bacterium
Lineage: Bacteria
Description: partial 16S ribosomal RNA
Rfam family: Bacterial small subunit ribosomal RNA
Source: RNAcentral
UACAGAGGGGGCAAGCGUUAUUCGGAAUUAUUGGGCGUAAAGGGCGCGUAGGCGGCCUGACAAGUGGAAGGUGAAAUCCCUCGGCUUAACCGAGGAACUGCCCUCCAAACUGUCUGGCUUGAGACCGGGAGAGGUGAGUGGAAUUCCCAGUGUAGCGGUGAAAUGCGUAGAUAUUGGGAGGAACACCAGUGGCGAAGGCGGCUCACUGGACAAUUGCUGACGCUCAGGCACGAAAGCGUGGGGAGCAAAAGGG